AGAGUUUGAUCCUGGCUCAGGAUGAACGCUAGCGGCAGGCUUAACACAUGCAAGUCGAGGGGUAACAUUGUAGCUUGCUACAGAUGACGACCGGCGCACGGGUGCGUAACGCGUAUACAAUCUACCUUAUACUGGGGAAUAGGCCAAAGAAAUUUGGAUUAAUGCCCCAUAGUAUUUUUGGAACACAUGUUCUAAUUCUUAAAGCUCCGGCGGUAUAAGAUGAGUAUGCGUGAUAUUAGCUAGUUGGUGAGGUAACUGCUCACCAAGGCAACGAUAUCUAGGGGGUCUGAGAGGACUAUCCCCCACACUGGUACUGAGACACGGACCAGACUCCUACGGGAGGCAGCAGUGAGGAAUAUUGGGCAAUGGAGGCAACUCUGACCCAGCCAUGCCGCGUGAAGGAAGAAGGUUCUAUGGAUUGUAAACUUCUUUUAUUUGGGAAGAAACCUCUCUACGUGUAGAGAGCUGACGGUACCAAACGAAUAAGGACCGGCUAACUCCGUGCCGGCAGCCGCGGUAAUACGGAGGGUCCAAGCGUUAUCCGGAAUCAUUGGGUUUAAAGGGUGCGCAGGCGGUUUAUUAAGUCAGUGGUGAAAUCUCGGGGCUCAACCUCGAAACUGCCAUUGAUACUGAUAAACUUGAGUUCAGUUGGAGUAGGCGGAAUGUGUAGUGUAGCGGUGAAAUGCUUAGAUAUUACACAGAACACCGAUAGCGAAGGCAGCUUACUAAACUGAUACUGACGCUGAGGCACGAAAGCGUGGGGAGCGAACAGGAUUAGAUACCCUGGUANUCCACGCCGUAAACUAUGAUUACUCGAUAUUGGCGAUAUACA
RNAcentral lists this ribosomal RNA (832 nucleotides) under uncultured bacterium. RNAcentral's name for it is "bacterial SSU rRNA". It matches the Rfam family "Bacterial small subunit ribosomal RNA", at positions 8 to 835 of the family's 1533-position model. The record is from RNAcentral.